This 1546-nucleotide long non-coding RNA is filed under the name Equus caballus (horse). RNAcentral's name for it is "lncRNA (ENSECAG00000036630.3)". The record is from RNAcentral. Lineage: Eukaryota; Metazoa; Chordata; Mammalia; Perissodactyla; Equidae.
CCAGAACUCUCUUCUUUUGUGGGCACAUACCACCUUAGGCUGCCAGGUUACAGACUUUAGUGUCAUGAAUUGUAGCCACAUCACUGCAGAGUUUCCAGCAAUGGUUGCCAUGGCACCAGGUGGCCUAAUCAUCAGUGUUUCAACAGUAUAGAGGCAGCAACACCUACUCAAAAAACUAGAGGACUAUUGGUGGACAUAGCAGGUUUCCUGGAUUUCUGUCAAUAGAAGAUUACCAAAUUAGGCCCAGAUCCCUUGGCAGAGGGAACAUUGCUGGAGUUCCUGGAGAAAUUCCAGGAAGGAAAGCAUGAGAGAGAGAAGAACCAUAUUAUUUGUGAUAAACGGAAUGAGACUCAGUGACAUUUAAUGUGACUAUUAAAAAUAAUGAGUUGCUGUUCUAUGCCCUGAGCUGAAGUUUUCACUGGCUUACCCAUAGCCCCUGGUGGACCCAGAGUUCACAUACAGGCAAUGCCUGUGCAUAGCAAAGCUUCAGUCAUCUCUCUCUGGAAAGAGCUGGAGAACGUUCAGACCAUGCACAGGGCAGCCCAGAGGGCCAAGAGCUCACACUCAGGAAUUGAGCAAAGAAUGGUCAACACCUCAUGCAGCAGCCAGUGCGUGACACUGAGAGAAGGGGAAAAAGGCAGCCCUCUGCAGGAAUGCUUGCACUUUCAGAGUUGCCUCUCAGCCCGUGGGAAUGCUCCACAUCAAGGCAGCUAAGCAAUCGUUGGGGUGUUUACACCAAGCCGAGCAGCCCAGGUGGGCAGACAGUGAAAGCAGAUCAGGGAUGCAUGGGAUUGUGCAUGCAAGAGAAAGCACCUCCCACCUGGCACACCAGCUCAGCCAGUCAGCCAGAACAGGGGACCCCUGCCAGAGCACCUGUACAUGCGUAUGUAAAAUGGCAGUGGCCAGUGGGCAAACACAGAUGGGCCUUGUUGGCACAGCUUUCAACGGACAGGCACAUCGGCCAGAGGUUGCAGAGGGCUCAGAAAACACAGCUUCUGCUUCCCGCAGUGGUGGCAGGGGGAAUGUACAACCUGAUGCUACAACUAUGCGAUUGCAAAAGCCCACCCCAUCAAAUAGCAUGAAGAGGUAUAUUAGCACUCCAGACGAGAGGGAAAAUGACAAGUAUCCAGAAAUCAACCCUGAAGUCACAGAAUUUAAAAUCUAAAUGACAGAGAAUUCAAAAUAGUUGUCAUAAAGAAACUCAACAAGUUAGAAGAAAAACUCAGAAAGACAGUUUAAUGAUCUCAGGAAUAAAAAUUAAUGAACAGAGGGAAUUAUUCACAAAAGAGAUUGAAACUAUUAAAAAAAAAAACCAUCAGAAAUGUUGGAGAUGAAAAACACAAUGAAUGAGAUAAAGAAAAUCUGGAGUCCUUAAAUAACAGAGCUGAUAUUAUGGAGGACAGAAUCAAUAAUUUAAAGGACAGAAAUAUAGAAAUGUUGCAGAUGGAGGAGGAGAGAGAACUAAGAAUAAAAAGAAAUGAAGAAAUUCUCCAAGAAAUAUCCAACCCAAUUAUAGGUAUUCCAGAUGGAGCAGUGAGAGAGAAAG